CGCGCCAGCCACCGGGGAAGCAUUGACUGCUAUAUGAAUGGCAGGUGACUCGUCCGCGGCUUCUUGCACGGGAACAUACAUAGUCACCUCCUCGAGUUUCUCCAAGCUUCCGCUUUGCGAAGCGUAAUAGUAGAGGGAGGAAGAAAGCUCUUUUGCUGAGGCAUGUAAUGCAUGUUUAUUGAAACAGAACACAGCGGUUUCAUUCUCUCAACAUUUACAUUGUUGACAAACUCUGGGCGGGAACACGCCCUCUUCGCCGCGGGUCCGACGAACACGUCCCACGCUCUCUUCCCCCUGGCACGAGCAUCAGGAACGCUGAUCCUUCUUGCCCGCAGGGCGCCCUUGGCUGCUAGAGGCUGGUUUAGUACCAAAACGGGGCUUCCUGGGCUGCCUCUGCCGGAAU
Long non-coding RNA from Carassius carassius (crucian carp), 403 nucleotides. RefSeq lists it as uncharacterized. The record is from RefSeq and is a predicted model, not a curated record. The transcript has 2 exons. NCBI's taxonomy places the organism in Eukaryota, Metazoa, Chordata, Actinopteri, Cypriniformes, Cyprinidae.